This 119-nucleotide ribosomal RNA is filed under the name Lepisosteus oculatus (spotted gar). Lineage: Eukaryota; Metazoa; Chordata; Actinopteri; Semionotiformes; Lepisosteidae. The record is from RNAcentral.
ACCAGUAGCCACAUUGCCCAGCAACUCCCAGCUGGCUGCCCACUGGAACUCAGCAGGUGGGAGCCUGGCCAGUACCUGGAUGGGAGGCCUCCUGGGAAAAACUAAGGUUGCUGCUGGAG